GGCCUCCAUCCAGCCUUGUGGCAGCCUGGGAAGUGCUCCUGUUUCCAUCUCUCUAUAAGAAACUGAAGGCCAGAGAGGCUCAAGGACUUGCUCAGAUCUGAGUAGAGAAGAUGGGAUGUGAAUCCAGGACCGCCUGACUCUGCACCCCAGGGCUUUAAACCAUGUUUCUGAGCGGCCCCAGCAUGCUACCCACCCCGGCCCUGACAGGGAGGGCAGGGAACGUGUUGUGUUAACUGGGGAGUGGAAGGGAAGACCUGCUCCUCCAUUCAUCCUCAACUCCUGAGCUUGGCCCCAAGGAGACACUGCAUGUGUCUCCAAGUGUGGAUGAAGGACCCUGAGCAUCAGGAUGUCUAGGAAACGAGACAAAAAUGCACAUUCCCGGGCCUCACCUCGCCUCCACUGACCCUGAAUCUCUGGGUAGCUGAUACCUUCCCCAGGUAGCACAGAUGCCUGAAGAACAAGAGCUCUCCUAUGGACUCAUACCCUUUAGGAGCCCAAAUUGAGCAGGUCCUUGUGAGUCCACUGCACGCUGACCCUAUUCCAAGUUCAUGGCUCCAACAUGAGAAACACAGGCCUGACUCCCCCGCAGAGGAGAAGCAAAACAAUUUCUUAGAAGCAAAUGAAUCAAUUCACCAUUUCUUGAAGCUGCAGAGUUCUAUAGCUGACUUGGGGCAGGUGGGAAAAGAAGAACUCUUCUCCCAUUGGAAAAUGUAAGGCAUACAUAAAUUUAAUGAAGUACAAACUUUCUGUACAGAUGGAGCAUAAACAAAUGACGUCACUAGAUCCACCAGCCAUUCAUUCAAGCUGUGGACAGAGCCCAGCGGCCGCAGCACCGGACAACUGAGUGCCUGGGGAGGCUCGGCCCUGACAGCCCCUGCACAACCCAAAUCAGUUGGCAGGUCACAGAGGUGAGGCCACCAAGGGCUUCUGACCCUUGUGGCCCUCCCAGGGCUACCCUCCUUGAGUCCAUCCUUCUGGUCAACCAGCUUGGGAGCCUUAGUGAGUGGCAGGGUUGUUGCUAGAGAGAAAGCCCUGGAGUCUUCUCUGCUCUAAUGACUUAAAAUAAAGUCCAAACUCCUUACAAGGCUCCCUGGAUUCCACAGGAUUUGGCCCCUGCCUGCAUUUCCCACCUCUCUGCCGUCUUCUCUACCCCUGGG
Gorilla gorilla gorilla (western lowland gorilla) is the source of this 1157-nucleotide long non-coding RNA. RefSeq lists it as uncharacterized. The transcript has 3 exons. Lineage: Eukaryota; Metazoa; Chordata; Mammalia; Primates; Hominidae. The record is from RefSeq and is a predicted model, not a curated record.